RNAcentral lists this ribosomal RNA (253 nucleotides) under uncultured bacterium. RNAcentral's name for it is "partial 16S ribosomal RNA". It matches the Rfam family "Bacterial small subunit ribosomal RNA", at positions 524 to 776 of the family's 1533-position model. The record is from RNAcentral.
UACGGGGGGGGCAAGCGUUGUUCGGAAUUACUGGGCGUAAAGGGCUCGUAGGUGGCCAACUAAGUCAGACGUGAAAUCCCCAGGCUCAACUUGGGAACUGCGUCUGAUACUGGAUGGCUUGAAUUCGGGAGAGGGAUGCAGAAUUCCAGGUGUAGCGGUGAAAUGCGUAGAUAUCUGGAGGAAUACCGGUGGCGAAGGCGGCAUCCUGGACCGAUAUUGACACUGAUGAGCGAAAGCUAGGGGAGCGAACGGG